Molecule: ribosomal RNA, 911 nt
Filed under: Meloidogyne incognita (southern root-knot nematode)
Lineage: Eukaryota; Metazoa; Nematoda; Chromadorea; Rhabditida; Meloidogynidae
Description: SSU rRNA
Rfam family: Eukaryotic small subunit ribosomal RNA
Source: RNAcentral
AAAGAUUAAGCCAUGCAUGUAUAAGUUUAAUCGUUUAUCGAGAAACCGCGAACGGCUCAUUACAAUGGCCAUGAUUUACUUGAUCUUGAUUAUCUAAAUGGAUAACUGUGGAAAAGCUAGAGCUAAUACAUGCACCAAAGCUUUGUCCUCUCGGAAAAGCGCAUUUAUUAGAACAAAACCACGCGGCUUCGGCUGCUUCUUGUUGACUCAGAAUAACUAAGCUGACCGCAUGGCCUUGUGCCGGCGGCGUGUCUUUCAAGCGUCCACUUUAUCAACUUGACGGGAGCAUAAUCGACUCCCGUGGUGGUGUCGGAUAACGGAGGAUCAGGGUUCGACUCCGGAGAAGGGGCCUGAGAAAUGGCCACUACGUCUAAGGAUGGCAGCAGGCGCGCAAAUUACCCACUCUCGGCUCGAGGAGGUAGUGACGAGAAAUAACGAGACUGUUCUCUUUGAGGCCGGUCAUCGGAAUGGGUACAAUUUAAACCCUUUAACGAGUAUCAAGCAGAGGGCAAGUCUGGUGCCAGCAGCCGCGGUAAUUCCAGCUCUGCUAAUACAUAGAAUUAUUGCUGCGGUUAAAAAGCUCGUAGUUGGAUUCGUAUCGGUAUCCUGGAACCCUCCGGGUGUUUCUGGGUGUUAUCGAUUUAUCGUAAUGUUCGGUUUUGAGUCCUUAACAGGAUUCUUAACAGGCAUUGCAAGUUUACUUUGAACAAAUCAGAGUGCUUCAAACAGGCGUUUUCGCUUGAAUGAUCGUGCAUGGAAUAAUAGAAAACGAUUUCGGUUCAGUUUUAUUGGUUUUACGGACUGAGAUAAUGGUUAACAGAGACAAACGGGGGCAUUUGUAUGGCCCCGUGAGAGGUGAAAUUCUUGGACCGUGGCCAGACAAACUACAGCGAAAGCAUUUGCCAAGAAUG